CCCUAGCCCCGAUUGCAACGGCAUCCUUUUUGGUUGCGGGCGGAGCGAAGCAGAGCCCGUAACCAAAAAGAUAUAGUGAAAAGCGGGAUUAAGC
Molecule: non-coding RNA, 94 nt
Organism: Chryseobacterium sp.
Lineage: Bacteria; Pseudomonadati; Bacteroidota; Flavobacteriia; Flavobacteriales; Weeksellaceae
Source: Rfam